UAAAGAAUUUCGGUCAUCGAUGGGGAUGCGUUCCAUUAGUUUGUUGGCGGGGUAACGGCCCACCAAGGCAUCGAUGGAUAGGGGUUCUGAGAGGAAGGUCCCCCACAUUGGAACUGAGACACGGUCCAAACUCCUACGGGAGGCAGCAGUGAGGAAUAUUGGUCAAUGGGCGCUAGCCUGAACCAGCCAAGUAGCGUGAAGGAUGACUGCCCUAUGGGUUGUAAACUUCUUUUAUAUGGGAAUAAAGUGCAGUAUGUAUACUGCUUUGCAUGUACCUUAUGAAUAAGGAUCGGCUAACUCCGUGCCAGCAGCCGCGGUAAUACGGAGGAUCCGAGCGUUAUCCGGAUUUAUUGGGUUUAAAGGGAGCGUAGGCGGGUUGUUAAGUCAGUUGUGAAAGUUUGCGGCUCAACCGUAAAAUUGCAGUUGAUACUGGCAUCCUUGAGUACAGUAGAGGUAGGCGGAAUUCGUGGUGUAGCGGUGAAAUGCUUAGAUAUCACGAAGAACUCCGAUUGCGAAGGCAGCCUGCUGGACUGUAACUGACGCUGAUGCUCGAAAGUGUGGGUAUCAAACAGGAUUAGAUACCCUGGUAGUCCACACAGUAAACGAUGAAUACUCGCUGUUUGCGAUAUACAGUAA
RNAcentral lists this ribosomal RNA (636 nucleotides) under uncultured bacterium. Its description in RNAcentral is "bacterial SSU rRNA". It matches the Rfam family "Bacterial small subunit ribosomal RNA", at positions 202 to 842 of the family's 1533-position model. The record is from RNAcentral.